GGGAGCUUCAAGAUGGACAUUUGUUAAUUUUUUUUUUGAUUCACUAAUAUCUGAAGACCAGUAGUGAAUACUCAGAGCCCUGCCCAGAUCUCUUCAAAUUAGGACUAUGAGAUGCAGAGUCUGAAUUGAUACUGACACCUAGGGGUCCAAAGCAAUAUUGUGGCCCCUUGUUAAAACAGAAUAAUGAAGUUCCAGAAUACACAGUCUGUCUGGAUACAUUUGGAAGCUGGAAAAAUGCUCAUACUGGUCUCUGACAAGUGGAGUUAAGAGCCAAUAGGAUAAGCCAGGUAGAAAAUUUCUCCCUCAAGGUAAUAAAUAAAAAUCACAAUACCUAAUUGCAAGUGAGAUUAGUUCACUUUUAAAGAUAUCACAGGGGUGCCUGGGUGGCUCAGUGGGUCAAAGCCUCUGCCUUCAGCUCAGGUCAUGAUCCUAAGAUUCUGGGGUUCUGGGAUCGAGCCCAGCACUGGGCUCUCUGCUCAGCUAGGAGCCUGCUUCCCUUCUU
This 502-nucleotide long non-coding RNA is filed under the name Mustela putorius furo (domestic ferret). RNAcentral describes it as "lncRNA (ENSMPUG00000031463.1)". Lineage: Eukaryota; Metazoa; Chordata; Mammalia; Carnivora; Mustelidae. The record is from RNAcentral.